UCUUGACUAGGUUUUAGGCUUUUGGAAAAAGAAACUAGAUAAAAAAAAUAAUAAUAAUAUUCUUUGCAUAGAAUUUUGGAGGAUCAGUUUAAGUUAUUAAUUGUUGGGUACUAGUCACCAAUUCGCCAUGGAUAAUGAGAAGGGAGAAAUGGGUGUCAGCGGUAAUGGCACGCAGAGGAUAAUGUCUCAAAGAUGAUAAAUGAAGCUCUCAAAAAGUGCUUGGGGAAAAAUAAAGGAGAUCAUAAUAAAUGCAAGUCCAAGAUUGAUUGUUUCGAUUCUUCCUCCUCUUCUAUUUCCAAUCCAAGAAAAACAAUUGCCUCCUUUAAGGCUCAGGAGUGGUUCAUUGACUGAUAUCUGAAGCAAGUACAGGUAAUCAUUUUCAUUUUUUUUUAGUGUUUCUAUUAAUCUAUAUAAUUAUUUUAUGUAAUUGCUGUAUGAAUUGGACCUUUGACGCAGUCAGGAUCGCUGGUAAUGCAUGGUAACUUAUGGGUUAAUGAGUAUUUUUUUGCUCCUCUUAUCCUUUCUGGUUUUCUUUUAUGUCUCUGGAUCUGAUUUCUUUUCUGUUAAAUAGAAUCUUUUUUUAUGUUUUUUGGUUCCUUUCUUUUCUUUUGAAGAAUGACAAAAUUGUUAAACUCAACCUUGAUAAAAUGAUAUGAAGAACAAAUUGAACAUGUCACUGAAUUAACAUAUCCCUCAAUUCAAACACUUCCUAACUAUGACUUGGAACGUGCAUCACACAUCUCCCAUCUAAAGCCAUAGCAGACAACUAUAGCACCAUGACUUCAAGUUCAGAAGGUAGCUUUUGCUGGAGAUCAUUGCAUCAUCUUUAGCCUAUUGGUAAUUCCUUGUUUCCUUAAACUUUCACUUCCAUCGUGGGCAUCUAGACUUGAAUAGUUUACGUAAAAGAAAUGGUUCCAUUCUAUUUGGUUUUAAGAGCAGCCUCGCUACUGGGACCUCACUGCACAAACAAAGGACUUAAAGAUAAAAUGGAAAUGAGAACAAGAUUAUCAUUAAUAUCCCUUGUGGUUUGAGUCAUUUUCAAAAAGGGUUCUAUGUUUCUGUUUUGACAAACCAGUAUUUUGUAGUUCAAUCCAUUAGAAAAAAAAAAUCCAAAUCCGUUGGCUUUUUAUAUUUAAUACUACUUUCACAUGCUGCACAAUUCAUUCUGCAGACUGCAGACGAUUCUUUCAUGUUAUGUCCAUAAUCCAUACACUAAAAUGAACACUUGAAUAAAUUUUGCAGUCUGGUAAGUAGAAACUUCUCCUUUCUGCAAUCCACCUAAAGGAGUGCAUCCCCGCUGAAUUUUGCAGUCUAGUAGAACAAUUAACCUUCAAAAUUUCCAACAAAAUCAUACUUGAUAGGUUCAUGUGUAUUUUUUGCUCCUACAGACUUCUUUUAUCUCUAUAACUUUGGUUUGAAUCUGUCCUCGCCCACAACCUGCCAAAAAGGGAAAGACCUUUCCUUGAGAAGGUAGGAAAAUCAUAAUUGAGAUGGUGCACUCAAUGCAAUGGAACUUGGAUAUGGGUCUUUUGUCAAAAUAAAAUGUUCUCACUUUUACUUUUUUAAUAUAGUAUGCUUGGACUA
Molecule: unclassified non-coding RNA, 1584 nt
Filed under: Hevea brasiliensis (rubber tree)
Lineage: Eukaryota; Viridiplantae; Streptophyta; Magnoliopsida; Malpighiales; Euphorbiaceae
Source: RNAcentral